Molecule: small nucleolar RNA, 200 nt
Organism: Hypanus sabinus (Atlantic stingray)
Lineage: Eukaryota; Metazoa; Chordata; Chondrichthyes; Myliobatiformes; Dasyatidae
Product: small nucleolar RNA SNORA73 family
Exons: 1
Source: RefSeq, a predicted model, not a curated record
UGAAUAUUGAUUUCUUUUUCUGGUGAAAAAUGCUUUCCCCAUAAGGGAGCAUAGACAUUUGGUCAAUGAUGUACAGUCCCAUUCCACAUUGUUGGAGAGCAUUUGUGUCCCCGGCUUUUAGCUGGUGAGGACUGAAUCCUAUAUAUUCCUAGACCUUCUGUCUGCUGUGACUGUGGAGACAAACCAUAUAGGGUACAUGU